CCCUUAGACGUUCUGGGCCGCACGCGCGCUACACUGACGAAGGCAACGAGCUUUCCUUUACCGAAAGGUACGGGUAAUCUUUUGAAACUUCGUCGUGCUGGGGAUAGAUCCUUGCAAUUUUUGAUCUUAAACGAGGAAUUCCUAGUAAGCGCAAGUCAUCAACUUGCGUUGAUUACGUCCCUGCCCUUUGUACACACCGCCCGUCGCUACUACCGAUUGAAUGGUUAGUGAGGCCUUCGGAUCCGCGACUCGUUUUGUGGAGAAGUUGGACAAACUCAGUCAUUUAGAGGAAGUAAAAGUCGUAACA
RNAcentral lists this ribosomal RNA (307 nucleotides) under uncultured eukaryote. RNAcentral describes it as "partial 18S ribosomal RNA". It matches the Rfam family "Eukaryotic small subunit ribosomal RNA", at positions 1470 to 1796 of the family's 1831-position model. The record is from RNAcentral.